UUCAAACUCAGCCCUCAGGGCUACCGCUUCCAGAAGUUAAGCCGAGUGUUGAAUCAGUACACAGAUACAAUAAUCCAGGAAAGAAAGAAAUCCCUCCAGGCUGGGGUAAAGCAGGAUAACACUCAGAAGAGGAACUACCAGGAUUUUCUGGAUAUUGUCCUUUCUGCCAAGGAUGAAAGUGGUAGCAGCUUCUCAGAUAUUGAUGUACACUCUGAAGUGAGCACGUUCUUGUUGGCAGGACAUGACACCUUGGCAGCAAGCAUCUCCUGGAUCCUUUACUGCCUGGCUCUGAACCCUGAGCAUCAAGAGAGAUGCCGGGAGGAGGUCAGGGGCAUCCUGGGGGAUGGGUCUUCUAUCACUUGGUAAGAUCUGCACCCCUAAAUUUUCCUCCUAGUUUUCCCCCUGAGAUUUUGCUUUAUUUUUUGCACUGGUACCUUAGUGACUCUAGUGCCUCAGGAUAUGUGUAGGUGAAACAGAAGAAGUAGGCUACUUUUCUGUUCUUUCUAAAGAGAGCUCCAAAUUGUUCUCUUGUCUUUCGGGAAAAAAAAA
This 549-nucleotide small RNA is filed under the name Pongo abelii (Sumatran orangutan). RNAcentral describes it as "processed transcript". The record is from RNAcentral. Lineage: Eukaryota; Metazoa; Chordata; Mammalia; Primates; Hominidae.